GAUGAACGCUGGCGGCGUGCCUAAUACAUGCAAGUCGAACGCAUUGUGGUUGAAAUGAUAUGAAGAACUUGUUCAGAUUUGAUUUUCAACAUUGCAAUGAGUGGCGAACGGGUGAGUAACACGUGGGAAACCUACCUCUUAGCAGGGGAUAACGUUUGGAAACAAAUGCUAAUACCGUAUAAUAAUUAAAACCGCAUGGUUUUAGUUUAAAAGAUGGUCUUGCUAUCACUAAGAGAUGGUCCCGCGGUGUAUUAGUUAGUUGGUGAGGUAAUGGCUCACCAAGACAAUGAUACAUAGCCGAGUUGAGAGACUGACCGGCCACAAUGGGACUGAGACACGGCCCAUACUCCUACGGGAGGCAGCAGUAGGGAAUCUUCCACAAUGGACGAAAGUCUGAUGGAGCAACGCCGCGUGUGUGAUGAAGGGUUUCGGCUCGUAAAACACUGUUGUAAGAGAAGAAUGACAUUGAGAGUAACUGUUCAAUGUGUGACGGUAUCUUACCAGAAAGGAACGGCUAAAUACGUGCCAGCAGCCGCGGUAAUACGUAUGUUCCAAGCGUUAUCCGGAUUUAUUGGGCGUAAAGCGAGCGCAGACGGUUAUUUAAGUCUGAAGUGAAAGCCCUCGGCUCAACCGAGGAAUUGCUUUGGAAACUGGAUAACUUGAGUGCAGUAGAGGAAAGUGGAACUCCAUGUGUAGCGGUGAAAUGCGUAGAUAUAUGGAAGAACACCAGUGGC
Molecule: ribosomal RNA, 734 nt
Filed under: uncultured Weissella sp.
Lineage: Bacteria; Bacillati; Bacillota; Bacilli; Lactobacillales; Lactobacillaceae
Description: bacterial SSU rRNA
Rfam family: Bacterial small subunit ribosomal RNA
Source: RNAcentral